RNAcentral lists this ribosomal RNA (634 nucleotides) under uncultured Marinobacter sp. RNAcentral describes it as "bacterial SSU rRNA". It matches the Rfam family "Bacterial small subunit ribosomal RNA", at positions 870 to 1504 of the family's 1533-position model. Lineage: Bacteria; Pseudomonadati; Pseudomonadota; Gammaproteobacteria; Pseudomonadales; Marinobacteraceae. The record is from RNAcentral.
CGCCUGGGGAGUGCGGCCGCAAGGUUAAAACUCAAAUGAAUUGACGGGGGCCCGCACAAGCGGUGGAGCAUGUGGUUUAAUUCGACGCAACGCGAAGAACCUUACCUGGCCUUGACAUGCAGAGAACUUUCCAGAGAUGGAUUGGUGCCUUCGGGAACUCUGACACAGGUGCUGCAUGGCCGUCGUCAGCUCGUGUCGUGAGAUGUUGGGUUGAGUCCCGUAACGAGCGCAACCCCUAUCCCUAGUUGCUAGCAGUUCGGCUGAGAACUCUAGGGAGACUGCCGGUGACAAACUGGAGGAAGGUGGGGAUGACGUCAGGUCAUCAUGGCCCUUACGGCCAGGGCUACACACGUGCUACAAUGGUGCGCACAGAGGGCUGCAAACCCGCGAGGGGGAGCCAAUCUCACAAAACGCAUCGUAGUCCGGAUCGCAGUCUGCAACUCGACUGCGUGAAGUCGGAAUCGCUAGUAAUCGUGAAUCAGAAUGUCACGGUGAAUACGUUCCCGGGCCUUGUACACACCGCCCGUCACACCAUGGGAGUGGAUUGCACCAGAAGUGGUUAGUCUAACCUUCGGGAGGACGAUCACCACGGUGUGGUUCAUGACUGGGGUGAAGUCGUAACAAGGUAACCGUA